UAGGGAAUCUUCGGCAAUGGGGGGAACCCUGACCGAGCAACGCCGCGUGAGUUAAGAAGUUUUUCGGUUCGUACAGCUCUGUUGUUAAGGCAGAAUGUGUGUGAGCAUGGAAAGUUCAUGCUGUUACGGUACUUAACCAGAAUGGGACGGCUAACUACGUGCCAGCAGCCGCGGUAAUACGUAGGUCCCGAGCGUUGUCCGGAUUUAUUGGGCGUAAAGCGAGCGCAGGCGGUUAGAAAAGUCUGAAGUGAAAGGCAGUGGCUCAACCAUUGUAGGCAUUGAAAACUGUUUAACUUGAGUGCAGAAGGGGAGAGUGGAAUUCCAUGUGUAGCGGUGAAAUGCGUAGAUAUAUGGAGGAACACCGGUGGCGAAAGCGGCUCUCUGGUCUGUAACUGACGCUGAGGCUCGAAAGCGUGGGGAGCGAACAGG
Molecule: ribosomal RNA, 429 nt
Filed under: Bacteroidota bacterium
Lineage: Bacteria; Pseudomonadati; Bacteroidota
Description: Bacteroidetes bacterium partial 16S ribosomal RNA
Rfam family: Bacterial small subunit ribosomal RNA
Source: RNAcentral